This 82-nucleotide transfer RNA is filed under the name Ipomoea nil (Japanese morning glory). It matches the Rfam family "tRNA". Rfam says of the family: Transfer RNA (tRNA) molecules are approximately 80 nucleotides in length. Their secondary structure includes four short double-helical elements and three loops (D, anti-codon, and T loops). The record is from Rfam by way of RNAcentral. Lineage: Eukaryota; Viridiplantae; Streptophyta; Magnoliopsida; Solanales; Convolvulaceae.
GUUGCUUUCGCUUAGUGGUUAAGGCAUGUGCCUGCUAAGUACAUGGGGUUUCCUUGUGAGAGUUUGAAUGUCUCUGGCAACU